AUUGAACGCUGGCGGCAGGCCUAACACAUGCAAGUCGAGCGGUAGAGAGGUGCUUGCAUCUCUUGAGAGCGGCGGACGGGUGAGUAAUGCCUAGGAAUCUGCCUAGUGGUGGGGGAUAACGUUCGGAAACGGACGCUAAUACCGCAUACGUCCUACGGGAGAAAGCGGGGGAUCUUCGGACCUCGCGCCAUUAGAUGAGCCUAGGUCGGAUUAGCUAGUUGGUGAGGUAAUGGCUCACCAAGGCGACGAUCCGUAACUGGUCUGAGAGGAUGAUCAGUCACACUGGAACUGAGACACGGUCCAGACUCCUACGGGAGGCAGCAGUGGGGGAAUUUUGGACAAUGGGCGCAAGCCUGAUCCAGCAAUGCCGCGUGCAGGAUGAAGGCCUUCGGUGUAACUAGCUUUGUACGGAACGAAACGGUAGAGCUCUAAUACAGUUGCUAAUGACGGUACCGUAAGAAUAAGACACC
RNAcentral lists this ribosomal RNA (470 nucleotides) under uncultured bacterium. RNAcentral describes it as "bacterial SSU rRNA". It matches the Rfam family "Bacterial small subunit ribosomal RNA", at positions 30 to 495 of the family's 1533-position model. The record is from RNAcentral.